Molecule: ribosomal RNA, 492 nt
Filed under: Vishniacozyma carnescens
Lineage: Eukaryota; Fungi; Basidiomycota; Tremellomycetes; Tremellales; Bulleribasidiaceae
Description: eukaryotic LSU rRNA
Rfam family: 5.8S ribosomal RNA (bases 136-289)
Source: RNAcentral
GGAUNAGCNCNCGGCUCGGUCAGUGAGUUCAUGAGUGCCUUCUCUUCGGAGUUGGCCAUCCAUACACACCGNUGAACUGUUGGCUUCGGCCAUCACAAACUGUUAGUAAUGAAUGUAAUAUCAUAACAAAAACAAAACUUUUAACAACGGAUCUCUUGGCUCUCGCAUCGAUGAAGAACGCAGCGAAAUGCGAUAAGUAAUGUGAAUUGCAGAAUUCAGUGAAUCAUCGAAUCUUUGAACGCACCUUGCGCCCUUUGGUAUUCCGAAGGGCAUGCCUGUUUGAGUGUCAUGAAACCUCACCCCACUUGGGUUUUUGCCUGAGCGGUGGUGUAUUGGGUGUUGCCUUGCCAAAGGCUCGCCUUAAAAACAUAAGCACCUUGGAUGUAAUACGUUUCAUCCUUCUGGGUGGCUGAUAACCCCACAUAUUCAUGAUCUGGCCUCAAAUCAGGUAGGGCUACCCGCUGAACUUAAGCAUAUCAAUAAGCGGAGGAA